This 1197-nucleotide long non-coding RNA is filed under the name Homo sapiens (human). RNAcentral describes it as "long non-coding RNA NONHSAT177641.1". Lineage: Eukaryota; Metazoa; Chordata; Mammalia; Primates; Hominidae. The record is from RNAcentral.
GUGACUUGGCAUGAAAUUGCAAGGCCUCAGAUACAUGGGUAUGACCUGAAAUGUUUGGCAAUGAUUAAUCGGUUUCAGUUUGUAUCUGGAGCAGAUGAAAAAGUUCUUCGGGUUUUUUCUGCACCUCGGAAUUUUGUGGAAAAUUUUUGUGCCAUUACAGGACAAUCACUGAAUCAUGUGCUCUGUAAUCAAGAUAGUGAUCUUCCAGAAGGAGCCACUGUCCCUGCAUUGGGAUUAUCAAAUAAAGCUGUCUUUCAGGGAGAUAUAGCUUCUCAGCCUUCUGAUGAAGAGGAGCUGUUAACUAGUACUGGUUUUGAGUAUCAGCAGGUGGCCUUUCAGCCCUCCAUACUUACUGCCUCCCACUGAGGAUCAUCUUCUGCAGAAUACUUUGUGGCCUGAAAUAUGGGCACGGUUAUGAAAUAUUUUGUGUUACUUGUAACAGUUCAAAGACUCUGCUUGCCUCAGCUUGUAAGGCAGCUAAGAAAGAGCAUGCAGCUAUCAUUCUUUGGAACACUACAUCUUGGAAACAGGUGCAGAAUUUAGUUUUCCACAGUUUGACAGUCACGCAGAUGGCCUUCUCACCUAAUGAGAAGUUCUUACUAGCUGUUUCCAGAGAUCGAACCUGGUCAUUGUGGAAAAAGCAGGAUACAAUCUCACCUGAGUUCGCCAGUUUUUAGUCUUUUUGCCUUCACCAACAAAAUUACUUCUGUGCACAGUAGAAUUAUUUGGUCUUGUGAUUGGAGUCCUGACAGCAAGUAUUUCUUCACUGGGAGUCGAGACAAAAAGGUGGUUGUCUGGGGUGAGUGCGACUCCACUGAUGACUGUAUUGAGCACAACAUUGGCCCCUGCUCCUCAGUCCUGGACGUGGGUGGGGCUGUGACAGCUGUCAGCGUCUGCCCAGUGCUCCACCCUUCUCAACGAUACGUGGUUGCAGUAGGAUUGGAGUGUGGAAAGAUUUGCUUAUAUACCUGGAAAAAGACUGAUCAAGUUCCAGAAAUAAAUGACUGGACCCACUGUGUAGAAACAAGUCAAAGCCAAAGUCAUACACUGGCUAUCAGAAAAUUAUGCUGGAAGAAUUGCAGUGGAAAAACUGAACAGAAGGAAGCAGAAGGUGCUGAGUGGUUACACUUUGCAAGCUGUGGUGAAGAUCACACUGUGAAGAUACACAGAGUCAAUAAAUGUGCACUGUAAUGGACU